GAUGAACGCUGGCGGCGUGCUUAACACAUGCAAGUCGAACGGGAUCCCGGGGGUUCGCUUCCGGGUGAGAGUGGCGAACGGGUGAGUAAUGCGUGACCGACCUGCCCCAUACACCGGAAUAGCUCCUGGAAACGGGUGGUAAUGCCGGAUGCUCCGGUUGGAUGCAUGUCCUUCCGGGAAAGAUUCUAUCGGUAUGGGAUGGGGUCGCGUCCUAUCAGCUUGAUGGCGGGGUAACGGCCCACCAUGGCUUCGACGGGUAGCCGGCCUGAGAGGGCGACCGGCCACAUUGGGACUGAGAUACGGCCCAGACUCCUACGGGAGGCAGCAGUGGGGAAUAUUGCACAAUGGGCGCAAGCCUGAUGCAGCGACGCCGCGUGCGGGAUGGAGGCCUUCGGGUUGUAAACCGCUUUUGAUCGGGAGCAAGCCCUUCGGGG
This 434-nucleotide ribosomal RNA is filed under the name Bifidobacterium dentium. RNAcentral describes it as "bacterial SSU rRNA". It matches the Rfam family "Bacterial small subunit ribosomal RNA", at positions 28 to 460 of the family's 1533-position model. The record is from RNAcentral. Lineage: Bacteria; Bacillati; Actinomycetota; Actinomycetes; Bifidobacteriales; Bifidobacteriaceae.